Rhipicephalus microplus (southern cattle tick) is the source of this 1349-nucleotide long non-coding RNA. NCBI's taxonomy places the organism in Eukaryota, Metazoa, Arthropoda, Arachnida, Ixodida, Ixodidae. The record is from RefSeq and is a predicted model, not a curated record.
CGUGGCGGCCUUGGUGCGUGUGUAGUGCAUGUGAACAUUGUUGCGUCUCUUAAUUGCUCAGUAUCGCGCCUGUACACUCGCAAUUCUCCAAGAUGUUUGGUUUCGCGAUGAUAAUUAAAAAUUAAUAGUCCCGGUAAGUGCAUGUAAGUACAUCAAUCCGAAGGAUACAGGCAAUUUUGAUCCUCACAAGUGGUACCGAGUGUUCUGGAAGGAUAACACACACUGCGGCCACUAUCACGCUCAAGUGAUUAAGCUUUACGCCACCGAGGAUGAUGCAAGGAAUGCAACAGAAAAACGACCAUCCAUUACGCAGACCCGAUUGCGACUCCUCCGAUGGAUGCAGUUCAAAUGAAGUGGACAAUGAGUCGUUUAAGAACAAAGAACCUUGUCCUUUGCGGGUGUUGCAGCACAAGCCUCAAAAACAGAAGCGACUUGCACCUUUGCCACCACUAUGUGCUGCUACGCUGGAACCACCACAGUGACCACGGACAGCCCUGAAGUAGCCAACUCAAGUGUGAGGGAGGCUGCACCGCUUAUCAAUUAUGUGCCCACUGACAGAGAGGUAUCAUAAACCUCUGGUAUGCUUUGUCUUGAAGAUAUAUUGUUUUGCUUUUUAAUGAGAAAAUGUGCAUUGACAAACUAAUGUGUGCACAUCAUCUUGGACUUGUUUUAUAGGUGCAUCGGAGCAAAGGAAUUGCCGUUCCCAAGAGGUUGUACAAUCACCCCAUGGGCUUGAAAAGACAGACCCAUUUUGUUUGUGAGGCGGCCGUUACCAUUUUUCAUACAGCAGGCCAAGUCGGUAGAAGUGUUACUGGUGCAGCCUCCAAUCGGUCUAAAGGGGAGGCGAAAUCUCCCUAAGAGAAAGAAACAUAUGCUGUAUUUUCUGGUAGGUGAAAUUUUGCAAUCUGACCGAAAUUCAUGGAAGUUGGCGGCUCCAUUUUUGCACGUAAUCAGCCGAGGUUUCACUGUCAACUUGUGUUAUAAUUAUUUACUAAAGCUUCAAGUGUGCUUUUGCCUACUGGAGCUGGGUACAUUUAUGCAAGAAUCCACAAACUAAUUUUAAACAAUAUUAGAGAGGCAGACUGGUAGCACUCCUAAUUAUUUCCUUGUCAUAUUGACUCCUCUAUUUAGAGUGCACAUAAUUGUCGCUUAAUAAGUGCCUGUAACUUGCUUUGUUUUUGAUCAUGCAGAUUUCUUCAACCAUUUUUUUGAAGCACACCGUUCUGAUUGGAAAGGUUGAACAAAUGAAGAAGCUCCUCAAUAAAGCUUUGACAAACAAAAUUAUUGACUUUAUGAAAUCAAGAUUAACCAAGGAAUGGCACAUCAAAUAAAAUAUUUUGUUUGAUUUC